AGAGUUUGAUCAUGGCUCAGGACGAACGCUGGCGGCGUGCUUAACACAUGCAAGUCGAACGGAAAGGCCCAGCUUGCUGGGUACUCGAGUGGCGAACGGGUGAGUAACACGUGGGUGAUCUGCCCUGCACUCUGGGAUAAGCCUGGGAAACUGGGUCUAAUACCGGAUAUGACCAACUGUCGCAUGGUGGUUGGUGGAAAGCUUUUGCGGUGUGGGAUGGGCCCGCGGCCUAUCAGCUUGUUGGUGGGGUAAUGGCCUACCAAGGCGACGACGGGUAGCCGACCUGAGAGGGUGAUCGGCCACACUGGGACUGAGACACGGCCCAGACUCCUACGGGAGGCAGCAGUGGGGAAUAUUGCACAAUGGGCGCAAGCCUGAUGCAGCGACGCCGCGUGAGGGAUGACGGCCUUCGGGUUGUAAACCUCUUUCACCAGGGACGAAGCGCAAGUGACGGUACCUGGAGAAGAAGCACCGGCCAACUACGUGCCAGCAGCCGCGGUAAUACGUAGGGUGCGAGCGUUGUCCGGAAUUACUGGGCGUAAAGAGCUCGUAGGCGGUUUGUCGCGUCGUCUGUGAAAUUCUGCAACUCAAUUGCAGGCGUGCAGGCGAUACGGGCAGACUUGAGUACUACAGGGGAGACUGGAAUUCCUGGUGUAGCGGUGAAAUGCGCGAUAUCAGGAGGAACACCGGUGGCGAAGGCGGGUCUCUGGGUAGUAACUGACGCUGAGGAGCGAAAGCGUGGGUAGCGAACAGGAUUAGAUACCCUGGUAGUCC
This 774-nucleotide ribosomal RNA is filed under the name uncultured bacterium. RNAcentral describes it as "bacterial SSU rRNA". It matches the Rfam family "Bacterial small subunit ribosomal RNA", at positions 8 to 796 of the family's 1533-position model. The record is from RNAcentral.